Molecule: ribosomal RNA, 232 nt
Filed under: uncultured bacterium
Lineage: Bacteria
Description: partial 16S ribosomal RNA
Rfam family: Bacterial small subunit ribosomal RNA
Source: RNAcentral
CGGGUGCGUAACACGUGAGCAACCUGCCCCAAAGAUCGGGAUAGCCCAAGGAAACUUGGAUUAAUACCGGAUACCUUCACCGGACCGCAUGGCCUGGUGAAGAAACGCUUUUGUGCUUUGGGAUGGGCCCGCGGCCUAUCAGCUAGUUGGUGAGGUAAUGGCUCACCAAGGCAUUGACGGGUAGCUGGUCUGAGAGGAUGAUCAGCCACACUGGAACUGAGAUACGGUCCAG